RNAcentral lists this ribosomal RNA (253 nucleotides) under uncultured bacterium. RNAcentral's name for it is "partial 16S ribosomal RNA". It matches the Rfam family "Bacterial small subunit ribosomal RNA", at positions 524 to 776 of the family's 1533-position model. The record is from RNAcentral.
UACGGAGGGGGCUAGCGUUGUUCGGAAUUACUGGGCGUAAAGCGCACGUAGGCGGCUUUGCAAGUCAGAGGUGAAAGCCCGGGGCUCAACCCCGGAAUUGCCUUUGAGACUGCAUCGCUAGAAUUGUGGAGAGGUAAGUGGAAUUCCGAGUGUAGAGGCGAAAUUCGUAGAUAUUCGGAAGAACACCAGUGGCGAAGGCGACUUACUGGACACAUAUUGACGCUGAGGUGCGAAAGCGUGGGGAGCAAACAGG